UACAUGGGGUGCAAACGUUGCUCGGAAUUAUUGGGCGUAAAGCGCGCGUAGGCGGUUACUCAAGUCGGAUGUGAAAGCCCUCGGCUUAACUGAGGAAGUGCACCCGAAACUGAGUAGCUAGAGUACUAAAGAGGGUCGCGGAAUUCCCGGUGUAGAGGUGAAAUUCGUAGAUAUCGGGAGGAACACUGGUGGCGAAGGCGGCGACCUGGGUAGAUACUGACGCUGAGGCGCGAAAGCGUGGGGAGCAAACAGG
RNAcentral lists this ribosomal RNA (253 nucleotides) under uncultured bacterium. Its description in RNAcentral is "partial 16S ribosomal RNA". It matches the Rfam family "Bacterial small subunit ribosomal RNA", at positions 524 to 776 of the family's 1533-position model. The record is from RNAcentral.